AGCAGCCGCGGUAAUUCCAGCUCCAAUAGCGUAUAUUAAAGUUGUUGCAGUUAAAAAGCUCGUAGUUGAAUUUCGGGAUCAAUCUAUCGGUCGUGCAAUAGUACGUACUGAUUUUAUUGAUUCCUCCCUUCUGAUGAACUAUGAUGUCAUUAAUUUGGUGUCAUAGGGAAUCAGGACUGUUACUUUGAAAAAAUUAGAGUGUUUAAAGCAGGCUCACGCUUGAAUACAUUAGCAUGGAAUAACGAAAUAGGACGUUUGAUUCUAUUUUGUGGUUUCUAGGAUCGACGUAAUGAUUAAUAGGGAUAGUUGGGGGCAUUAGUAUUCAAUUGUCAGAGGUGAAAUUCUUGGAUUUAUUGAAGACUAACUACUGCGAAAGCAUUUGCCAAGGAUGUUUUCAUUAAUCAAGAACGAAAGUUAGGGGAUCGAAGACGAUCAGAUACCGUCGUAGUCUUAACCAUAAACUAUAGCCGACUAGGGAUCGGAUGAUGUUAAUUUUUAUGACUCAUUAC
RNAcentral lists this ribosomal RNA (509 nucleotides) under uncultured fungus. RNAcentral's name for it is "SSU rRNA". It matches the Rfam family "Eukaryotic small subunit ribosomal RNA", at positions 569 to 1081 of the family's 1831-position model. Lineage: Eukaryota; Fungi. The record is from RNAcentral.